Molecule: ribosomal RNA, 497 nt
Filed under: uncultured bacterium
Lineage: Bacteria
Description: partial 16S ribosomal RNA
Rfam family: Bacterial small subunit ribosomal RNA
Source: RNAcentral
GAUGAACGCUGGCGGCGUGCCUAAUACAUGCAAGUCGAACGCAUAGCGAAAGGUACUUGCACCUUUCAAGUGAGUGGCGAACGGGUGAGUAACACGUGGACAACCUGCCUCAAGGCUGGGGAUAACAUUUGGAAACAGAUGCUAAUACCGAAUAAAACUUAGUGUCGCAUGACACAAAGUUAAAAGGCGCUUCCGCGUCACCUAGAGAUGGAUCCGGGGUGCAUUAUGUAGUUGGGGGGGGAAACGCCUACCAAGAAAAUGACUGCUAGCCGCGGUGACAGGCUGCCCGGCCCCCUUGGGAGUGGGACAACGCCCAAACCCCUGAGGGAGGCUGCAGUAGGGAACUCUCCCCCAUGGGCGAAAGCCUGAAGGUGGCACGGCGAGUGUGGCAUGAAGGCUUUCCGGUCGUAAAAGACUGUUGUAUGGGAAGAACCGGUCGAAUAGGAAAUUAUUUUAGGUUCACCGUACCCUACCAGAAAGGGACCGCUAAAUACGUG